GUGAAUCAUCGAAUCUUUGAACGCAAAUUGCGCCUUUUUCGGAAGGCAUGUCUGUUUGAGGGCACCAUUUAACAAAUAAUGUGCAUUUCGUGUGCACACGUUGAUGAGCUUUCCAAAAUUAUGUAUUAUUAUUUUUGGUGGCGCAUAUUAAACAGCCCGUUCCUUUUUUUCAGUUGGAGGUAAGUAAAUUUUUUUUUCUUUGGGUUGUGAAAAGCGGAUUGCCCCAAUGGGUGUGGCGUU
This 240-nucleotide unclassified non-coding RNA is filed under the name Paraglomerales sp. RNAcentral describes it as "partial contains 5.8S ribosomal RNA and internal transcribed spacer 2". The stretch from base 1 to 65 matches the Rfam family "5.8S ribosomal RNA", at positions 84 to 154 of the family's 154-position model. The record is from RNAcentral. Lineage: Eukaryota; Fungi; Glomeromycota; Glomeromycetes; Paraglomerales.